Molecule: non-coding RNA, 115 nt
Organism: Triticum aestivum (bread wheat)
Lineage: Eukaryota; Viridiplantae; Streptophyta; Magnoliopsida; Poales; Poaceae
Source: Rfam
CUUGUACUCCCUGCGUCCGAAAAUACUUGUCAUUGAAAUGGAUGUAUCUAAAUGUAUUUUAGUUCUAGACACAUCCAUUUUGAUGACAAGUAAUUGCGGACGGAGGGAGUACUUG